Molecule: long non-coding RNA, 898 nt
Organism: Nicotiana attenuata
Lineage: Eukaryota; Viridiplantae; Streptophyta; Magnoliopsida; Solanales; Solanaceae
Exons: 2
Source: RefSeq, a predicted model, not a curated record
UUGUUUGUGUUCUGAAAAUUGACAAUCCUUACAAAAUAACCUGGUUAGUCAGUUGUAUGGUCCUAAUGAUAGUUUACGAACUUCAACCUUUGAAGAGCUAAAAGGAAAUCUGGAAAUUGUAAGAACCUUCUCUGUUUUACCUAGAAUUGCUGCAGUAUGUUUGGUGGCGUUUUGCUGAAGAGCAUUAUUAUUUUUAUGAUUACUUGCAUUAAUCGAGAUCACUUAAAAACAUUUAGAUCAUGGAAUAAGCAUGCACUUGAUAUUUGAAUUCCUAAUUUUGUGCAACUUAAGUUGUCUCCAUUACUGAGUCCAUUUUGUUAAUUCAUUUUUUGCUCUUUUUGUCUUUUUUCCGUUCAGCUGACUGUUUCAAAUAAGGGAAGUGCUUGUGACUUGGGAAGCUCAAAUUCUAAGGUUCGCAAUUUUCACUUUAGGGUCAAGGAAAAUAACGUAGACUACUUCUACCCGGGAACUCAGACUUGAAGAGAUGUUCUGUUCAUUGAAUUUGAAUGUUGGCCAACAUAUCAAGACCGGGGGAUUAAGUAAUUGAUGUCCUAAAGCACUGGCCGAAAAUCUAAGCUAUGGAAGACCAAGAAGCGAGGAGCAAACUAUAUUUAUCGGUGAUCGAUGGCAAUUGGCAAAGCCUCCUGUCGUGGUUAUCUUGCUAGAAAGACAUUUAAAACUUAGUAGAAAACAAAUUUUACCUUGCAGUUUUGCCCUUCUUGUCCUUGUAUGCUGAUGCCCCCAUUCAAGUUUAGAGAGUUACUCCUGAGGUUUAUUGAUAUAGGAAUUCAGUUGCUUUCUGUUAUGUUGAACUGCCUCUUUUCUUACUUCACUAGUUGGAGUAGCCAGUUAUGUUGAUAAUUUAAAAUUAAUUGAAACCCCAUGAUUUUAUUAUAUA